Molecule: transfer RNA, 64 nt
Filed under: Cavia porcellus (domestic guinea pig)
Lineage: Eukaryota; Metazoa; Chordata; Mammalia; Rodentia; Caviidae
Rfam family: tRNA
About the family: Transfer RNA (tRNA) molecules are approximately 80 nucleotides in length. Their secondary structure includes four short double-helical elements and three loops (D, anti-codon, and T loops). Further hydrogen bonds mediate the characteristic L-shaped molecular structure. tRNAs have two regions of fundamental functional importance: the anti-codon, which is responsible for specific mRNA codon recognition, and the 3' end, to which the tRNAs corresponding amino acid is attached (by aminoacyl-tRNA synthetases). tRNAs cope with the degeneracy of the genetic code in two manners: having more than one tRNA (with a specific anti-codon) for a particular amino acid; and 'wobble' base-pairing, i.e. permitting non-standard base-pairing at the 3rd anti-codon position.
Source: Rfam by way of RNAcentral
GGGGAUUUAGCUCAGUGGCAUAAGCACCUGCCUUGCAAACAGGCGGUCGUAAAUUCAAUCCCUG